CUGCUUGUAGCUCAGGUGGUUAGAGCGCACCCCUGAUAAGGGUGAGGUCGGUGGUUCAAGUCCACUCAGGCCUACCA
RNAcentral lists this transfer RNA (77 nucleotides) under Klebsiella pneumoniae. RNAcentral's name for it is "tRNA-Ile". It matches the Rfam family "tRNA". Rfam says of the family: Transfer RNA (tRNA) molecules are approximately 80 nucleotides in length. The record is from RNAcentral. Lineage: Bacteria; Pseudomonadati; Pseudomonadota; Gammaproteobacteria; Enterobacterales; Enterobacteriaceae.